This 901-nucleotide small RNA is filed under the name Pan troglodytes (chimpanzee). RNAcentral's name for it is "retained intron". Lineage: Eukaryota; Metazoa; Chordata; Mammalia; Primates; Hominidae. The record is from RNAcentral.
UGUCCCCAUCCAACCCAGCUUCCUGCAUAACCUCCCCACCACUGGCUGCCCUAGGUCUGUCUGUGUGCCUCCCACACAGGAAACUCACCUGUCAGGCUGCCAGCUCUGUGUUUUGCAUUGAGUGGCCUCCCAUACCCACCGGCCUACAUAAACCACCCUGGGUUUCAGCUUCCGGAUUGCUGAAGGUCUGGGUGUUAGGGUGAGGGAGGCUCUUCCUUUUUGCCCUCUACAUGAGCUGAGCACCCUGGGUGUUUCACAGGGGCUGGCUGUGGGCAAUGGACUCUCCUCCUAUGAGCAGAAUGACAACUCCCUGGUCUACUUUGCCUACUACCAUGGCCUUCUGGGGAACAGGCUUUGGUCUUCUCUCCAGACCCACUGCUGCUCUCAAAACAAGUGUAACUUCUAUGACAACAAAGACCCGGAAUGCGUGACCAAUCUUCAGGAAGUGGCCCGCAUCGUGGGCAACUCUGGCCUCAACAUCUACAAUCUCUAUGCCCCGUGUGCUGGAGGGGUGCCCAGCCAUUUUAGGUAUGAGAAGGACACUGUUGUGGUCCAGGAUUUGGGCAACAUCUUCACUCGCCUGCCACUCAAGCGGACGUGGCAUCAGGCACUGCUGCGCUCAGGGGAUAAAGUGCGCAUGGACCCCCCCUGCACCAACACAACAGCUGCUUCCACCUACCUCAACAACCCGUACGUGCGGAAGGCCCUCAACAUCCCGGAGCAGCUGCCACAAUGGGACAUGUGCAACUUUCUGGUAAACUUACAGUACCGCCGUCUCUACCGAAGCAUGAACUCCCAGUAUCUGAAGCUGCUUAGCUCACAGAAAUACCAGAUCCUGUUAUAUAAUGGAGAUGUAGACAUGGCCUGCAAUUUCAUGGGGGAUGAGUGGUUUGUGGAUUCC